Molecule: ribosomal RNA, 1447 nt
Filed under: uncultured organism
Description: SSU rRNA
Rfam family: Bacterial small subunit ribosomal RNA
Source: RNAcentral
UGAACGCUAGCUACAGGCUUAACACAUGCAAGUCGAGGGGCAGCAUGGUCUUAGCUUGCUAAGGUCGAUGGCGACCGGCGCACGGGUGAGUAACGCGUAUCCAACCUGCCUUACACUCUUGGACAGCCUUCUGAAAGGGAGAUUAAUACAAGAUGUUAUCAUGAGUAAGCAUUUUCGCAUGAUUAAAGGUUUACCGGUGUAAGAUGGGGAUGCGUUCCAUUAGAUAGUAGGCGGGGUAACGGCCCACCUAGUCUUCGAUGGAUAGGGGUUCUGAGAGGAAGGUCCCCCACAUUGGAACUGAGACACGGUCCAAACUCCUACGGGAGGCAGCAGUGAGGAAUAUUGGUCAAUGGACGAGAGUCUGAACCAGCCAAGUAGCGUGAAGGAUGAAGGUUCUAUGGAUUGUAAACUUCUUUUAUACGGGAAUAAACGAAUCCACGUGUGGAUUUUUGCAUGUACCGUAUGAAUAAGGAUCGGCUAACUCCGUGCCAGCAGCCGCGGUAAUACGGAGGAUCCGAGCGUUAUCCGGAUUUAUUGGGUUUAAAGGGAGCGUAGAUGGGUUGUUAAGUCAGUUGUGAAAGUUUGCGGCUCAACCGUAAAAUUGCAAUUGAUACUGGCAGUCUUGAGUACAGUUGAGGUAGGCGGAAUUCGUGGUGUAGCGGUGAAAUGCUUAGAUAUCACGAAGAACUCCGAUUGCGAAGGCAGCUUACUAACCUGUAACUGACAUUGAUGCUCGAAAGUGUGGGUAUCAAACAGGAUUAGAUACCCUGGUAGUCCACACGGUAAACGAUGAAUACUCGCUGUAGGCGAUAUACAGUCUGCGGCCAAGCGAAAGCAUUAAGUAUUCCACCUGGGGAGUACGCCGGCAACGGUGAAACUCAAAGGAAUUGACGGGGGCCCGCACAAGCGGAGGAACAUGUGGUUUAAUUCGAUGAUACGCGAGGAACCUUACCCGGGCUUAAAUUGCAACCGAAUAUGGCGGAAACGCUAUAGCUAGCAAUAGCGGUUGUGAAGGUGCUGCAUGGUUGUCGUCAGCUCGUGCCGUGAGGUGCCGGCUUAAGUGCCAUAACGAGCGCAACCCUUGCCGAUAGUUACUAACAGGUUAUGCUGAGGACUCUGUCGGGACUGCCAUCGUAAGAUGUGAGGAAGGUGGGGAUGACGUCAAAUCAGCACGGCCCUUACGUCCGGGGCUACACACGUGUUACAAUGGGGGGUACAGAGGGCUGCUACCACGCAAGUGGAUGCCAAUCCCAAAAACCUCUCUCAGUUCGGAUUGAAGUCUGCAACCCGACUUCAUGAAGCUGGAUUCGCUAGUAAUCGCGCAUCAGCCACGGCGCGGUGAAUACGUUCCCGGGCCUUGUACACACCGCCCGUCAAGCCAUGGGAGCCGGGGGUACCUGAAGUGCGUAACCGCAAGGAGCGCCCUAGGGUAAAACUGGUGACUGGG